Long non-coding RNA from Homarus americanus (American lobster), 590 nucleotides. RefSeq lists it as uncharacterized. The transcript has 2 exons. NCBI's taxonomy places the organism in Eukaryota, Metazoa, Arthropoda, Malacostraca, Decapoda, Nephropidae. The record is from RefSeq and is a predicted model, not a curated record.
AUUAUUAUUAUUAUUAUUAUUAUUAUUAUUAUUAUUAUUAUUAUUAUUAUUAUUAUUAUUAUUAUUAUUAUUAUUAUUAUUAUUAUUAUUAUUAUUAUUAUUAUUAUUAUUAACACAAAUCAUAAGACCGUGUGUGUCGGAUAUAAGGACCAUCAUAGUUACAUUAGGCCCUAUUUUUUAUUAGUUUAGGUAGCUAAGGGUCUAUUAGGUCUGGGGUCUGUUAGGUCUGGGGUCUGUUAGGUCUGGGGUCUAUUAAGUCUGGGGUCUAUUAGGUCUGGGGUCUGUUAGGUCUGGGGUCUAUUAGGUCUGGGGUCUGUUAGGUCUGGGGUCUGUUAGGUCUGGGGUCUGUUAGGUCUGGGGUCUGUUAGGUCUGGGGUCUGUUAGGUCUGGGGUCUGUUAGGUCUGGGGUCUGUUAGGUCUGGGGUCAUAUAAUUAGUAUACCAGUUGCAUUGUGUAUGAUGUGUAUUGUGCAUUACAUGUAAGUCAACAGCAACAACAACAACGACAACAACAACAACAACAACAACAACAAAUGUAUUAAGUUUGUAAGAAUUUAUUCAUAAAAUAAAUGACUUAAAAAAAUCCUCAAA